UUUAGUAUAAAAAUAAAAAAAUAUUAAAUAACUUAAUAGAGGUAAUAUAUUCUUAGAUUAAAAGUAAAUAGAUAGUCAAUAUCACUCACAAGUCAUAACAUAUAAAGCAAAAAAUCAAAAACUUCACUAGUUACUACAAGCAAAAAAGAAGUGUCACUUAGUAAUAAAACAACAAAUUUACUAAGUAAGAAAAAUAAAGACUAUUAAGAUUUAAGAGCAGCAACCAGAGCAGUCACACUAUUGAAAUAAUAAAAAAAAAACAGAGCAGCAAGCAUACACACAUCACUGAUCACAGUCACUGUACAGAAAUAAAAAAGAAACAGAGCAGCAAAAGAAUUGGAAAAAACAGAGCAGUAAUAUUAAUUGAAAAAAAAAACAGGUCAGUAAUAGAGAUUGAAAAACAGAGCAGCAAACAGAAAUUGGAAAAAAAAAUGCAGCAAUAAAAAUAUAGAAAACACCCAGCAGCAACCAAAAACAAAAAAACAGUAGCAGAUCAGUCGCAGAGAAGAAGAGAAGAAGAAGAAGAGGAGAACUUACAGCAGUGGCAACCUGGCAGCAACCAAAAAUAGAAAAAAAGUCGCAGAGCAGUCACAAAGAAGAAGAGAAGAAGAGAAGACGAGAAGAAGAAGAGAACUUACAGAAGCAGAGAAGAAGAAGAAAAGAAGAAGAGCAGUUGCAGCUUCUUAGUCUUGCAGCAAUCCAAAAAAGAAUUUUGAAGUCGCGAAAGAGGUAUAUUAAGUCGCAUAAGG
Molecule: long non-coding RNA, 749 nt
Filed under: Solanum tuberosum (potato)
Lineage: Eukaryota; Viridiplantae; Streptophyta; Magnoliopsida; Solanales; Solanaceae
Description: long non-coding RNA (STUB_LNC005508)
Source: RNAcentral